This is a long non-coding RNA of Mirounga angustirostris (Northern elephant seal), 584 nucleotides long. RefSeq lists it as uncharacterized. The transcript has 3 exons. NCBI's taxonomy places the organism in Eukaryota, Metazoa, Chordata, Mammalia, Carnivora, Phocidae. The record is from RefSeq and is a predicted model, not a curated record.
GCAAUAUGCAUUAUUUCAUAUGUUCCUUGGGACAGACCCGAGCAGUAGGCACUGUCUCCUUUGUACAAAGGGUGAAACUGAGGCUCAGAGAGGUUAAGAAACAUCCCUAUGGUCACAGCUCACUAUUAUGACAACGGGAUUAUGGGCUGUUCUGGAAGUGGCCUCCACAGCUCCCGCCUGCGUCACAGUCCCCGGACCUGGUGAAUCUUCAGCCACCGAUGUUUUAAAUCCCUCUGGACACACGAAGACUGAAAACCAGAAGGGGGUUAAUGCAAGUCUUCCGCCAGCUCAGGGACUGUCAAAACCAGAGCCACAGAGCAGCCUCCAGGCUCAUGAGAGCCGAAAGAACCUGGGGACAGAGUCAGCUUUAAGAAACCCAACUCAAGAAAAAGACUGAGUCGAGUAAAAACUGCAUUUGUUAGGAGAAUUCGUGGGGAAAGAAAAAAAAAAGUCUUUACAGGAAUAAACAUGAUUUUUUAUUAAAACUCAAAAAACUUGCCAAGUGUGGGGAGCUCGCUGUCUGAUUGUCAUCCACGGGGAAUUUGAAAAUCCAGGGGUAAAUAAUGCACCGAGGAAAAAGUGCU